RNAcentral lists this ribosomal RNA (189 nucleotides) under Bacillus sp. D08. Its description in RNAcentral is "partial 16S ribosomal RNA". It matches the Rfam family "Bacterial small subunit ribosomal RNA", at positions 339 to 520 of the family's 1533-position model. Lineage: Bacteria; Bacillati; Bacillota; Bacilli; Caryophanales; Bacillaceae. The record is from RNAcentral.
CUACGGGAGGCAGCAGUAGGGAAUCUUCCGCAAUGGACGAAAGUCUGACGGAGCAACGCCGCGUGAGCGAUGAAGGCCUUCGGGUCGUAAAGCUCUGUUGUUAGGGAAGAACAAGUAUCGGAGUAACUGCCGGUACCUUGACGGUACCUAACCAGAAAGCCACGGCUAACUACGUGCCAGCAGCCGCGG